GGAGUUUGGACCGUGUCUCAGUUCCAAUGUGGGGGACCUUCCUCUCAGAACCCCUACUGAUCGCAGGCUUGGUGGGCCGUUACCCCGCCAACAACCUAAUCAGACGCAUCCCCAUCCCUUAGCGGUAAACCUUUGGUUCAAUUUAGAUGUCUGCUUCGAACAACAUAGGGUAUUAAUCCGACUUUCGCCGGGCUAUCCCCUACUAAGGGGAAGGUUGGAUACGCGUUACUCACCCGUGCGCCGGUCGCCAUCAAAGUUUGCAAGCAAACUUCAUGCUGCCCCUCGACUUGCAUGUGUUAAGCCUGUAGCUAGCGUUCAUC
This 320-nucleotide ribosomal RNA is filed under the name uncultured Prevotella sp. RNAcentral describes it as "partial 16S ribosomal RNA". The record is from RNAcentral. Lineage: Bacteria; Pseudomonadati; Bacteroidota; Bacteroidia; Bacteroidales; Prevotellaceae.